RNAcentral lists this non-coding RNA (24 nucleotides) under Arabidopsis thaliana (thale cress). The record is from RNAcentral. Lineage: Eukaryota; Viridiplantae; Streptophyta; Magnoliopsida; Brassicales; Brassicaceae.
AUAACUCUCAUACCAUUCUUCACC